GGGGUAACGGCCCACCAAGACAACGAUGGAUAGGGGUUCUGAGAGGAAGGUCCCCCACAUUGGAACUGAGACACGGUCCAAACUCCUACGGGAGGCAGCAGUGAGGAAUAUUGGUCAAUGGGCGAGAGCCUGAACCAGCCAAGUAGCGUGAAGGAUGAAGGCUCUAUGGGUCGUAAACUUCUUUUAUAUGGGAAUAAAGUUUUCCACGUGUGGAAUUUUGUAUGUACCAUAUGAAUAAGGAUCGGCUAACUCCGUGCCAGCAGCCGCGGUAAUACGGAGGAUCCGAGCGUUAUCCGGAUUUAUUGGGUUUAAAGGGAGCGUAGGUGGAUUGUUAAGUCAGUUGUGAAAGUUUGCGGCUCAACCGUAAAAUUGCAGUUGAAACUGGCAGUCUUGAGUACAGUAGAGGUGGGCGGAAUUCGUGGUGUAGCGGUGAAAUGCUUAGAUAUCACGAAGAACUCCGAUUGCGAAGGCAGCUCACUAGACUGUUACUGACACUGAUGCUCGAAAGUGUGGGUAUCAAACAGGAUUAGAUACCCUGGUAGUCCACACAGUAAACGAUGAAUACUCGCUGUUUGCGAUAUACAGUAAGCGGCCAAGCGAAAGCAUUAAGUAUUCCACCUGGGG
This 624-nucleotide ribosomal RNA is filed under the name uncultured bacterium. RNAcentral describes it as "bacterial SSU rRNA". It matches the Rfam family "Bacterial small subunit ribosomal RNA", at positions 254 to 878 of the family's 1533-position model. The record is from RNAcentral.